AGCCUUUUUUAUCCAUGCUGAGAUUUCGUUAGCAACCAACCCACUAGGGCUUAUGCAACUUCCCAAAUAAGUGAAGUA
Molecule: microRNA precursor, 78 nt
Filed under: Trichobilharzia regenti
Lineage: Eukaryota; Metazoa; Platyhelminthes; Trematoda; Strigeidida; Schistosomatidae
Description: mir-3492 microRNA precursor family
Rfam family: mir-3492 microRNA precursor family
Source: Rfam by way of RNAcentral